This 69-nucleotide transfer RNA is filed under the name Indri indri. Its description in RNAcentral is "tRNA-Asp". It matches the Rfam family "tRNA". From Rfam's summary of the family: Transfer RNA (tRNA) molecules are approximately 80 nucleotides in length. Their secondary structure includes four short double-helical elements and three loops (D, anti-codon, and T loops). Further hydrogen bonds mediate the characteristic L-shaped molecular structure. tRNAs have two regions of fundamental functional importance: the anti-codon, which is responsible for specific mRNA codon recognition, and the 3' end, to which the tRNAs corresponding amino acid is attached (by aminoacyl-tRNA synthetases). tRNAs cope with the degeneracy of the genetic code in two manners: having more than one tRNA (with a specific anti-codon) for a particular amino acid; and 'wobble' base-pairing, i.e. permitting non-standard base-pairing at the 3rd anti-codon position. The record is from RNAcentral. Lineage: Eukaryota; Metazoa; Chordata; Mammalia; Primates; Indriidae.
AAGAUAUUAGUAAAAUGAUUACGUAACUUUGUCGAAGUUAAUUCAUAGGUUGAACUCCUAUAUGUCUUC